This 492-nucleotide ribosomal RNA is filed under the name uncultured bacterium. RNAcentral describes it as "partial 16S ribosomal RNA". It matches the Rfam family "Bacterial small subunit ribosomal RNA", at positions 29 to 507 of the family's 1533-position model. The record is from RNAcentral.
AGUGAACGCUGGCGGUAGGCCUAACACAUGCAAGUCGAACGGCAGCACAGUAAGAGCUUGCUCUUACGGGUGGCGAGUGGCGGACGGGUGAGGAAUACAUCGGAAUCUACUUUUUCGUGGGGGAUAACGUAGGGAAACUUACGCUAAUACCGCAUACGACCUACGGGUGAAAGCAGGGGAUCUUCGGGCCUUGCGCGAUUGAAUGAGCCGAUGUCGGAUUAGCUAGUUGGCGGGGUAAAGGCCCACCAAGGCGACGAUCCGUAGCUGGUCUGAGAGGAUGAUCAGCCACACUGGAACUGAGACACGGUCCAGACUCCUACGGGAGGCAGCAGUGGGGAAUAUUGGACAAUGGGCGCAAGCCUGAUCCAGCCAUACCGCGUGGGUGAAGAAGGCCUUCGGGUUGUAAAGCCCUUUUGUUGGGAAAGAAAAGCAGCAGAUUAAUACCCCGCUGUUCUGACGGUACCCAAAGAAUAAGCACCGGCUAACUUCGUG